RNAcentral lists this small RNA (6001 nucleotides) under Rattus norvegicus (Norway rat). RNAcentral describes it as "uncharacterized LOC103690543". Lineage: Eukaryota; Metazoa; Chordata; Mammalia; Rodentia; Muridae. The record is from RNAcentral.
AUUAAUUUUAUUAAAAGUAAACUAAAAGAAUUGUUUUGUGUUUAUCAACUUAAUGUAUUCGUCAUAGACUAUCAUAGUUUGUAACAAUUUUGCACAAAUUGUGUUUUGGGUUGAUUUUUUUGAUAUUUUGAUAUUUUGAUAUUUUGAUCAUUAUAAUUCCAAGAAUCAAGCUUUAGGCCACAGAAUUCUAUGAAGUAUGAGUAUGAACUACCAUUAAUACAUUUGAAUUUUUUUUAUCUUUUUGUCUUUGAAAACCUUCAGGUUCUGUCUGUAUGACUCAAGAGAUUUGUUUUGUUUUAUUUAGGGCAAUUUUAGCCAAUCUAUUAUCUAUUUAUCCUGCACCUGGCCAAAUACAUUUGCUCUGACCCAUUUCUUAGACAGCUGUUUUCUGUUAACUUUCCAGGGAGAAAAGUACUUGGUCAGCCAAAGAAAAUACUGCAAGUGCCAGCAAGGGAAUCUUGCAUGAUAACUUAGCAAACCGAUUCUAUUUUGACCCUCUUCAUUCUGUUUCAGAGCAUUCAAAUUCAAGUCCCUUCAGGUUGGACUGAAUGAGGAGGAAAAUAUCCAAACUUUACAUUAACCCAUAAAUAACAUUCUUCCCAUACAAAUGAAACCUCCAAAUGGAACUAAAGCCUGCACUUCCAACUAUCUUAAAGCUAAGAUUGGAAGUCCUAAUAUACCCAAUUUUCUGCCCUCUCUUUCCUUCAUUACAGAAUUGGCACAGGAAACUCUCUAAUCCUUGCUGGAAUCCUGCCAUCUCUGGCAGAGAGCAACGGACUCUUCAAUUGUGACACAGUAAAGCAUUUCACAAAGCUGUGGAAGGACAGUUCUGGUGAAAGAAAGCUACUCUCCAGCAGUUUCAGCCCUGACUUAGCUGUUGUAGUCAGGGUGGCCAGAGAGCCACCCCCUUAGGGAAUGCUACAGUUUACAGAUUGAAAUUGUACCUCACCCACAUUCAGGUGGUGAAAACCUACCUUCCAGUGCCUCAGCUGUGACUGUGUUUGGGGGUGGGAAUUUAAAAGAGGCAAUUGAAUUAAAAUGGGGUCAUUACUAUGGACCCUAAACUAGUGACCUUCUCAGACACAGAGGGAAGACUAAGAAGGAAAAAAUGAUUACCUAUAAAUGAGAAACAGAGAGAGAGAGAGAAAGAGAGAAUGCUCAAAAGAAACUAAUCUUGACAAUGCCCUGAACUUAGAUUUCAGCUUCUUGAACUAUGAGAAAAAUUGUUUCUGCAUUGAAUGCAACCAUUCUGUGACAUGUGGUUGUGGUGGCACUUGUACACUCCUUCACUCAGCAACAGUGAUGAGCAGCAGUAGCUCCAUGUCUGUGUUAUUGGGAGGCUGGCUCUUUGAAUCCAGAAACUCAAAUGUAGUAGCCAGUGAGCUCCACGUCUGCACCUCUUGGCUAAUCAGGCUUCUCUUUCUGAGUAGAUGGAGUCUUCCCUCCUUGGUUAUUGGUUAUUUUCUUGGACUCAGUUAUUUUCAAAUCCAUGUACAAGAUAUUAUAACCUAAAUUAGUCCCAGCAGGAAGUAGCUAGAGAGCUAGCUUCUUUCUGUGAACGCACACAUGCAUUAAUAACUGAUAAAUAUUCUAAUAAGUGUUUUAAAGGUCAACAAGAGGCAGAUUCUUGGCAAGGCAAAGAAAUCGUGUACAUAAGCUGUGUGUGUGUGGGGGGGGGUGGAAUUCAGAGCCUGUUUAUGUUUUCCCUUUAGGUCAUGUAUGGAGGCAUGAGGAUUUAUAUGACUCCACCAGGAAUAGUGAACGCCUGUCCUGGACAAGUUGGUAGAGACACUUUUCCCUUUAAUUCAGAGUGUGUGUUUGAGAAAAUUUCCACAAGAAAUGUAUUAAACACAGGAAAUGGAGAGCAUUAACUUAGGAAUUGAAAUAAGGGGGACAAGGUGACUUCUUGGCGUGCAUUACAUUAUCCCACCAUGUCUGUAGGAUUUGGCUUCUCUGGGAUAGCACCAUUCCAUGCAGACUUCCCAGCCUCUCUGAGAAGGAGGGGAUAGAACGGGUGGGGAAGAGCCAACUGACAGAUACUGACACAGGAUUCCCAAGCUGGUCCUGCAUCUGCCACCUAGAGUAGGACUCUAAGUCCUGGUGAGGUGCUCCUCUGAGCAUGCGUCUUAAAGCACACCUGCAUUCUUCUGGAAGGCAUGCACUUGUUCCACUUGCUAAUGCAGUGAGUGUGUGUGUGUGGGGGGGUAGCAUUCAGUGGUUUUACUUCCAUUCCUCCUUAUUUAUAACCAUAAAUACAGGGACAAACUAAGGCAAAGGUCUCCUCCUCUUGGCAUCCAUAGGAAGCAUAUUGGUUCAGCAAAUCUUCCAUUUCACUUCGGUUUAUUCUUCUUUGUGCUAAAUUUAAGUCAAAUUAAAAUCAAUUUUCACUUCUUAAAAUGGUAAGUUUGAGGUGAUCUGCUGUAACGAAGCCCUUUAUCUACCUGAUCUCUCUUAAAAUAGCUUUUUACCUGAGCAAUCGGGGAGUAUGAAUUCUGGGUUGUGGGAUUUACUGCCUCUGUCUCUUUUUUCCUUGUUUCUGCUUUCCCCUUGAACACUUCCAGAGUGCUUAAAGUAGUUUUGUCAUGUAGACAUAUUAUGAUGUAAGAUCUAUAAAGUUAUUUUUCUUUACAAAUCGGACAUCCACAUCUAAGUGAAUUAAUAAACAUAUCUAAGGUUUUUUUUUCCUCUCAUUGGUGAAAGUGAACUUUGCAGUUCAGACCCAGACAAUAAUGUUUGUAUUUUGGGUCAAACUGCCUAUUUUGCCCCGAUGAAUGUGCAUCAUAGUCAACUCCAAGGCUCACUCAGUGCACUGGAGACAGAACACACAUCCCAUACUUCCUAGCAUUCUCUAUGCUAUGAUCCACAGUACCCACUUUACAAGACAACUGGCUAUGUGUGCAAGGUACGCCUCCGUCAUGAAAACCAGUAUUGUCUUUCUAUCUAUCAUAAUGGUUUCCAGAGAACACAAGUCACAAAAUCCUGGCAUACAAAUGCAGAAAUCAUGUUCUAGUUCAGACGUUGCUCUUUCUAGUUGAGGAAACCCAGAGAGAUGAGGUGUCUUCUCACCCGAGGUCAUCAGCAUGCUAAGGACAAAGCCUACUGAACUACGUACAACUGUGCCCUUUGGGUUUCAGCUCACUAUGUUUAUCCCAAGCUUGAGACAUCCCUGGCUUUCAUUUCCUUUGUCCUGGCUUUGGCUUCUAUCUACUGCGUUGUUGUUGUAGUAUUGUCACAUCGUUUCAAGGCAUGAAUGACAAUAGGUCCCGGAUAAAAAUAAGAUCAGAGCACAGAACAGCUCUCCUAACUCCCCAGGCCCAGCUGUGUCUGAAAAAGCAUAAAGACAUGCACUGCAAACAGGACACUACACGCUACUCACAGGCUCUCUUCCCAAGUAGAACAUUCUCAAAGGAUGAUUUUUUAAAAUGUUUUUACAGAUAAGAUAGAGAAAAUGUAUGCGUCUAUUCAACUUUAAAUAAUCAUGGAUAAGUGAGAAUAGAAUUUGUUUUAGAAACCAAUAGAGCACAAAAUUUGAAAAAAAUGAAAGGCGAUACUUAUUUGAAGAGGAGAGAUACUUCUGAAGUUUGAUAUACACUUAACUAGAUGUAAAAGUCUAAAAUAAAAACAGUUGUAAAGAAUGAUUUGAGACAGCUGCUGCGGUAAAUGUGACACCAGAAGAUGCUCAGCCGGUGAGAGGUGGCCUUUUAGGGAAAGGUAAGCAUGCUCAAACUUUUAUCACACUGUACUUUUAUGGAAAUAUGUUACAAUGGAAAGACGCCCAUGUGAAAAAUCAUAAACCUUUGACUACAAAUUGAAGAUCUAUAAUUUAAAAUGUUUUAUGCCUAUAGGAAUCUCUUAUGCAGGCAUGUCUGAGUACCAUGUGCUUGUCUGGUACCCACAGAGCUCAGAAGAGGGUGUGGCAUCCUCUGAGACUGGAGUUACAGCUAUGAACUGUCACGUGACAUAGGUGCUGGGAACCGAACCUGGAUCCUCGGGAACUGCAGAAAGUGCUCUCAAAUACCGUUCCACCACUCCAGCCCCCACUACAGGGAUUUGGAAGAAAAUAUUUACAUGAUGAUUAUGGUGGUACAAAGGAAGUGUACUGAAUCUGAUCAUCAAAACACAACUGCAUAUCAAUAACAUCGAAGGAACAGUAAACUGAGCUUCAAUGUAUAAUAGGGCUCAGAGAACCAGUGGAAGAGGAGAAAGAAGGAGUAUAAGAGCCAGAGGGAUGGGGGACAGCAAGAAAACAAGGCCCUGUAAACCAACGGGACUGAUGUACACAUGAACUUACAGAGACUGAGGCAUCGUGCACAGGGCUUACAUGGGUCUGCACCAGCUGGGGUCCUCUUGCUGCAAGGAGAAGCAGACACAUGCCCCGAGCCCUAACCAGAAGCAUUGAUAACCAGUCGAUGGAUAACCACUUGCAAAUGAAAACUUCGUUUUCUUCAAGGGAGUUGCACUGGGGAAACAAACGACACUGAAGGGUAGGCUGCUUGCACUGCAGUAACGACUCUGAAGGGUAGGCUGCUUGCACUGCAGUAACGACUCUGAAGGGUAGGCUGCUUGCACUUCAGUAACGACUCUGAAGGGUAGACUGCUUGCACUGCAGUAGUUGGUCAAACUCACUGGCAUCCUUGGGGGUUCUUGUCCCAAAAUGUUGUCAGAGCUUUGUUUUUAAUCUUAUUUUAUAUUUAAAUUUUUAUGUGUAUUUUUUCCUCUUUGUACUCCUCAGGUUCUUGGGGUAUAUACAAAGGCUUUCAGUUUCGUGUUACAGGCAACGACUGAGCGUGAGAAUGAGUGGCUCUCUGAUUCUUGUGCCCUCUCUUGGGCUCUUUUACUUGGGCUUGCUUGUUUUGUACUACUGCGAUGUGUUAGUCUUUGUUUUGAUCUAAUUAUAUCUUAUUCUAUUAUUACCACUUGGAAACCUGAUUGUUUUCUAGUGAGAGAGGGAAAGGGGAUGAUCCAGAUGGGAGGGAAGGGAGGUGGAACUGAAAGGAGUAGGGCGGGAACUAUAAUCAGAAUCUAUUAUGCGAGAAAAAAAUUUAUUUUCAAUAAAAGAAAAAACAAAGAGGCUGUAUAUUUGAUGUUGUAAAUCCCUAGAGGGAGAACUGGGCGAAAUCGUGAGCUUCAUGACACUCUAGUGAGGAAUAUAAGCUGUGUCUCGCCACGAUGUUCCUUGUUACUUGAUUUUCCUAUGCAUCUUAGAAGAGCGAUGGUUCAGAGGAAUGACGGUGAAUAUGGUCUAGUCCUUAGCCCUCAACAAAAUCCUCCUUCACCACCAAAACAAAUCCCUUGAAAUAAGUUCCGAGCCGUUCACUAGCCUUUGAGCUGGUCAGCAGUAUAAUCUCUCCCCUAUGGUAUUCCUAUACAAGAAGUUCAUGUGACCAACCUUAACACUGUAUUUGUUUUCAUCUCCACUACAGUAAGUUCGGAUAGUCAAGAGAAGACCUCUUAUCCACCCAGAUGCUGCUCAACUUUGCCAUGUCUCCAAAAGACAACAGUGUUUGAUCUGCCCAACUGAAUUAAUCUGGAAGGAAAAAUGUCCUUCAGAUGAGCUAUUCAGAAACCCUUUCUGUUAGCUAUUGCUGUUUUCCUGUUCAGUUCUUGGGGAGACUUCACAGUUUUAAUUUUCUUCCCCAGACUAAGUUACUCUUGUGUCUUUCAUCCUCUUUCUUCAGAUUAAUUAAUUACAAAUUAAUCUUCUGAUGUGGAUAUGUGCUUCUUCUCUGUUGCAUGUGUCUUCCUCUGAGUUAGGAACACAGGAAAGUAGCUAUGAUGCGAAUAAUGUUCUAAUCACUGAGCAGUAUACACUGAUCACCACGAGUCACAGAGGGGUGAGUGGAUGCUCAGACACAAUUAGGUCCUUCACCUUUGCUCAGGGAAAUGACAAUUUUCCUUUAGUACAUGUGCAUGUAGUUACAUCUUCAUAGACAUAUUUUUCUUGCAUUCAUUACUUAAAAAGAAAUGAAGAUGGUUAAUAUUCUCAGACUUUGUCCUUUGU